This 444-nucleotide ribosomal RNA is filed under the name uncultured bacterium. Its description in RNAcentral is "bacterial SSU rRNA". It matches the Rfam family "Bacterial small subunit ribosomal RNA", at positions 28 to 459 of the family's 1533-position model. The record is from RNAcentral.
GAUGAACGCUGGCGGCGUGCCUAACACAUGCAAGUUGAGCGUGAAGUUUAUAUUGAUUCUUCGGAUGAUUUAUAAAUGGAAAGCAGCGGACGGGUGAGUAACGCGUGGAUAACCUGCCCUAUACUCCAGGAUAACAUACCGAAAGGUAUGCUAAUACUGGAUAAUAUACAUUAGUCGCAUGGCUUUUGUAUCAAAGAUUACGGUAUAGGAUGGAUCCGCGUUCCAUUAGCUAGUUGGUGGGGUAAAGGCCUACCAAGGCGACGAUGGAUAGCCGACCUGAGAGGGUGAUCGGCCACACUGGAACUGAGACACGGUCCAGACUCCUACGGGAGGCAGCAGUGGGGAAUAUUGCACAAUGGGCGAAAGCCUGAUGCAGCAACGCCGCGUGAGCGAUGAAGGCCUUCGGGUCGUAAAGCACUUUCAGUCGUGAGGAAGGUGUGUUAA